RNAcentral lists this ribosomal RNA (253 nucleotides) under uncultured bacterium. Its description in RNAcentral is "partial 16S ribosomal RNA". It matches the Rfam family "Bacterial small subunit ribosomal RNA", at positions 524 to 776 of the family's 1533-position model. The record is from RNAcentral.
UACGUAGGGGGCUAGCGUUGUCCGGAUUUAUUGGGCGUAAAGAGCGUGUAGGCGGCCAGGUAGGUCUGCUGUGAAAACUCGAGGCUCAACCUCGAGACGUCGGCGGAAACCAUCUGGCUAGAGUCCGGAAGAGGAGAAUGGAAUUCCCGGUGUAGCGGUGAAAUGCGCAGAUAUCGGGAAGAACACCCGUGGCGAAGGCGGUUCUCUGGGACGGUACUGACGCUGAGACGCGAAAGCGUGGGGAGCGAGCAGG